This is a long non-coding RNA of Chenopodium quinoa (quinoa), 3957 nucleotides long. RefSeq lists it as uncharacterized. The transcript has 3 exons. The record is from RefSeq and is a predicted model, not a curated record. NCBI's taxonomy places the organism in Eukaryota, Viridiplantae, Streptophyta, Magnoliopsida, Caryophyllales, Amaranthaceae.
UAGUAGAUCCAAUGUUCUAAGUGUCAUUUUAGUGAUUAAGGAAAUACGUCUUAGGUUAAUAAUUUUGGUACAUGACAUGAUGUUAGUCUUACCAGUUCUUUAGAGGAUGGAGAUGAAUAUUGAUAAUUUGGGGUUAAAGAAAAGUUUCGACUUUGAUUGGAUACUUAUUAUUUUGACAUUGCUGAAUGGCCUAUCUUUUGAGAGAAGAUGAGAGCAGGAGCCCUAUGUUUCAUAUCCACAUCUUUGAUUUGAAAGUCCUGAGGUGUUCUAACUGUACUAAACUGCUAUAAUGGAAAUAUGAAUCCUAUGGUUCAUUUAACUAUCUACGCUUAUUACAUAUUGUGUGGUAGAAUACUGUUCAUGCAUAUCAAAUUGAGAAUCAAAUACAAGAGGGAGGUGUUUUGUUAUAGUUGUUAAUUCAUCUGAAAGGAAGAUGAGGGAUUUAAUUUUUGGAGAAGAAUAAGGGCAAGCAGCACGAACCUUUUCAGAGUCACAAAGUCUUUUUUAACAUGUUUUUAUUUAUUUAUAAUCUCUUUCUCUAAUUGCUUACCUUUUUUUUGGGGAUAGUUGUUCUUCAUUAGAGAUUUUUUCCUUUAUAAUCAAAUUUGUAUAAUGGGGUUGAAGUAGAAUGAUGUAACGAAAUCUACUAGUCAAUGUUACUGCACAAGCUUAUCUGGAGUAUAUACAAUAUAUUAUGUGUAGAAUUAUUUUUUUUUCUUCUUCCUGCUUUAAUUGUUCAUUUUAUUUAAAAUUGUUGAGUGGUUGGGGAAGUUGGGUCAUGGCAUGGUUGUUUGCCCAUAAAUUACAUAAUACUAUGAGGUUUAUUAUCAAUUGAACUGAGUGUACUGUGUACAUUUUCAGUAAUGAGCUGGGGACAAAAGGUUUUUUUUUUUAAUCAAGCUUAUGUUAUAUCAUGAAGAGUAAUCGCGGUAUCAUGUGAUUUUUUUUUUGUGUAGGGUAGGAUAUACACCCUUCCAAGUCAUCUAUCACCUGGAGCUAGAGAUCUGAUUCCCAGGAUGCUUGUAGUUGAUCCUAUGAAGAGGAUUACAAUCCUAGAGAUCCGUCAACAUACAUGGUUUCAAGCUCAUCUUCCUCGUUAUUUAGCUGUGCCACCUCCUGAUACAAUGCAACAGGCAAAGAAGGUGAAACUACUCCAAAUAUGCAGACCUCAGCAAUUAUGGAAGCUAGGAAAUGAUAAGAUUUUCAAGUGUGACCGAUCCCUCUCUACUCGGGGAAGCAAACAACAUUGUCUUCAAGCGUGAAGAAUUCGAGACAAAAGUAUCAAAUCAUUUGCUCACGAAUGUUUUCUGCUUGCAGCUAUAACCGCAUAGGAAAAGAUGCUGACGAGGCAGAUGUGGAGGAAAUAAUUGAUUUGGCCAACAAAGCUUCCUUGGCUGGCCAACAAAAGCAAGUUCAAGAGAAUAUUCAUUCUCAAAUAAAAGAUUUAUGCACGCUUAUGGAUGAAAUUCUUCUUCCUGCCAAGAAAACUGAGGAGCGGUUUGAAUCAGCUGCACAAAUAGAUAAGGAUCAGCCACGAAGUGGCCUUAGGUUUGCUCUUGGCCGUAUUGGAAGCUCUCCUACUAACCAUCUUGGUAAUUUUUCCUUCAGGUUCCUGAAAUUAGCUUGUUCUUUCUUGAAUAUGAAAAGUACUGGUUGAUAGCAUUUUUUUUUUUUUUUGGAAAGUAAAAUUUUAUUACCAAAAGACUUCAAAGCAUGAGGGUACAUCAAAAGCCAAUGGCCAACACAACAACCAAAAACCAAACAAACCAAAGAACACAAGCCAAGGAACAAACAAUCUAGCCACCUUCUAGGAAGGGUUCUAGAAAGGAUGAACCAAACAGGGGCUCUUCUGCACUCAGUGGAGAGGAACUACCCUCUAGGAGGGUUGAACCAGAUCAGAGGAGCAGGACAAAACAAACAAACCACAACUCAACUAGCCUUCAAGGCUAAAUACUCAAUAAACAUAACCUGACAGCAACCAUUAACCUUAAAACUCAGAAAAUCAGUUUUUGUCUCUCAGGUUCAGAGCAUCUACAAGAGACUCUAUAAACUAUAUUCCUGAACACAGUAUCAGCAGGCUCACAGACUCCAUUGAACAUAGUAUUAUUUCUCUGGGUCCAAAUGCUGUAAACAGCUUCUGCCAGAAACAUCAGAUGAAGCUUGCUGUUAGAAUUUGACCUUCUACAAUUUUUAAUUGCCCAGUCAACUUCAUGGUUGAAAUCUUGAACAGUUUUUUGGCAUCUCAGGAGGUGUAACACUUUCUUCCAGAUUACACUAGAAUAGUUGCACCAAAAGAAAAGAUGCUACACAGAUUCAUUAUCCUGCAAACACAGUAAACAAACAGGGUCACAGACAGGAUUCCAUUUAAGGAUUCUAUCCUUUGUAAGUAACCUAUUCUAAUUGGCAAGCCAUAAGACAAAAAAACUUCUUGGGGUUGCAUGAUUAUUACAGAUGAUCCGUUUCCAGGAAACUUUAGGACCUUGAGCCCUGAUCUUAGCAUAAAUCUUCCUGAUUUGAACCCUACUGUUCUUCAUCAUAGAGCUUCAACCCCCAAUAUUAUCAAUCAAGCUCCUGCACUUCAUAAUUCUCCUGAGAACCCAGGAACACUUCUUAGGAAUAGCAGCAUCCCAAAAAUUGGCAAAUUUGAAAUAGUAUACAUGUACCCAUUUGACCCAUAGAGAGUCAGAUUUGUGAGUGAUAUCCCAGAGAACUUUACAGAUUGCAGCAAGAUUCCACACACAGAGAGAUAUGAUAUUCCACCCUCCACAAGUACUGGUUGAUAGCAUUGCUAUUUAUCUUCUGCCUAUGCUACCUCUUAUUGAUCCAAUAUUUGAAUACAAUGAUAUCUUUAAUCUUUAACUUGCUAUGGAUGUAAAUCAUGUAAUUUUAUUAAUAUAAUUUCUUGUAAGCAAGCGUAAGAUAUUGUAUUAACUACACAAACUAAUUUAUAAUGCCUUCUAGUGCAUAUCAAACUUUCUAGGAAGGACUUUAAGCCUAGCUACAUACUGUCUUACAGUGUUGCACAUCAAACCAAUCUUUAUCCCUACGACCCUAGUCCCUAACCCUAACUUUAGUGUGAUGAGAUUAUUUACUUUGACUUUCUAAUCCUUCCUUGGGACUUGUAGUCCUAGGCUGCACAAAAAAAAAAAAAAAAAAAAAAAAAAAAAAAAAAAGAAGAAAAGAAAACAAAAGAAAGAGCCCUCUCCUGAUUUUAUUGAAUUUAUGCUUGCUCCUCAGCUGUCUGGGCAUAACAGAAAUUUAGGAUUCAUUACUAACCAAAUGUGAAUUUUUUGUAAUUGCUGUGAUACGGUGGUGCACAAGGGUUCUGGAAUUCUUUGUAAUUGUUGUGAUACGGUGGUGGGUUGUCUGCCUUUAAUUUGACCUUCAAUAUUGUCAUUUACUUUGAAGCUUGUUUUUUCACAUGAAAUAUUAUUCAGGUUAGUGCUUCGCAAUUUAAGGCACAUGCUGGUUGUGCUUCACGCAGAAAACCCAUGAGUUAUCGGUAACCCUAAUUAAAGAUCGUCGUCAUUCUGCCAAGUACAAUGAUGACCUGACAGAAGUUUAUGAACAAGCGGAGCACUUGGGCAGAUUGUAUAGGCUCCAUACAUUGAAGAGCAUGAGUUCUAACAAUUGAAUUGACUAUUAGGCUCAUCAAACUCACACUGCCCUCCAGAUUUCUGCAUGUUGAUUCAGCCAACAAUACAAACCAGCAAUGGCAGCAGCAACACACAACCAGGCACCAGCUGCAUAACCAAAGCAACAACAACAGUACAGCAGCAGCACCACAAAAGAAAAACAAACAGCAGCUAGCACCCCACCCAGCACCCCACAACAACUCAUCCAUCACCAUGAAGGCAUUUUUGAACAAAUUAAAGAGUAAUUUCAUAUACAAAAUUUUAUUUUAUUUUUUAGAUGAAAAUUGUAAUAUUACGGCUUUUUUUUAAUGAAAAUAUGUAA